ACCUCCGCACAUCACGCCGCUAAACGCAUCAUCCCCUACCCCCAACUACGCCCCGCCUCCCUCCCCACCGUCGUGCUCCCCUCUCCCCACGGACGCCCUCCCCGCCUCCGCUGCUGCCCGCGCAACAGACGCCAUCGUUGCGGUCGCCGAUCCGCUCAAGACCCCAAAGCACGUCGCGGGGACUUGGAAGGCCACCACGGAGCUGACGCCGCUCCCUCCGGACCUGCUGCACCAAGGAAAAGCGGAUCGAGUGGGGCGCGGAAGGAGCCGAGGUCGGCACGCCGCCGUCGCGUGGGCGUGUCGGCGGCAAACAGGGUGUCCCCCAAGAACCGGUCGUGGGCCAAGAAGACGAUGAUGUCCCAUGCAGACGUCACACAAGUUCCUGGUGGCAGCAUGAUGAGUGGGCUCAAGCAGCGACCCGGCGUCAGCUUGACGGCGUGGACUAUCAGGAUAUCAUCCUGAUGCGUGGUGAUCAAUUCAGUCAUGGUGAGAAGAUGAGCUCUGCUAUACUCAAAAGUGUGCACCACAAAGGAACGAGAAACUCUGAAACUAUACAUGGGUCAGUGAUCUAUGGACCAGUUACAUUUCACUUGAUCUUUUUUUAUCUUUCAAGGAUACCAGCAGUUGGUUUCGUUUUCAAACUAAUUAGGUAGAUAUUUGUGCAAGUUUAUAGAAAUUUGUCAUGCUUAGCUAGCUGCUCUAGCAUUCAGUUGAAUCUGUGUUUGGGUUAAUUUUUGAGGUCUGGUCUGGCACAACUAUAUUUCAACGGAGGUAGGAGACACUCAUGAGGCAAGAUCACUUCACAAGGGCUGUUAUAGCAAAGAAAAUCGCUAGGUCUGCAAUUCUGGAUCAAAGACAGAGAAAAGAUCCAAAUUCGUUGAUGGAGUUAGAGCUUCCGUACAGCAGAGUCUUAGCUGCUGGUCACACUUUAACCACACGUCAAUUGCACGAGUGGUGCGGCGCCAUCCUGUACCACAAAUCAUGCGAAGAAUGAUGGGUGGUGUAAUCCUAUGCUAGCUAUAGUGCUAGACUGAUUUCAGAAACUCUUGGAGCUCAUCUUUUGGCCUGAAACACCAAGAACUAACCUGCCACCGCACUGACUACUGAUUAAUACAAUGGAGUUCAUUUGAUCCAUCUGAUAAAAUACCUAUUGGCGAAUAAGCAUGAAAAGUAAUCACCCACUCUUUCCGCAGUGGAAUUCGGCCAUGAUGUUAAGAAGUUCAGUGUAGGCAGGAGAAAAAAAUCUUGGUAAGCUACAAUCUUCUGAUCACAAUCUUACUUUUUUUAUUACUCUUAUUAGUGCUUCCGUUACUUUCUACUGAAUAUGCUCAAUGGGCUAGGUCCCUUUUUACUAAGUUAUUACGUAUAAUGGGGGAUUACUUGAUUUGCUCAUCGUUAUCUGGUUAGCGAUCCCGUGCAAACUCAAGUGAUAAUAUGUGCAUGUUGUCUUUUUAGUCCUACAAAUGUAAUAAGCCAACACCUUUCAUUUAAACAAAGUCGAUAUCACACAUCAAUUUUUGACCUAGAGCCAUUUCAUUGCCAAUAACUAUAAGAGCAGCUUUUGCAUCGUAAUUGAUAGCUCUUCCUCUCAGGUAUGUUCUAUUUUUAGCAUAAUCAUAUCCUAGUGUGUUGUAUAUUCUUUUCUCUAGUGAGGGUCUGUUGCAUGACCAAUUCAUUUCUCCCUUCUAUCUGAUUGCCAGACUGCUGACGACUUUCCGAUAAUUUGUAUGUCUUUUUCGAUUGGCCAUUAGUUUCUGAAAUUAAGGUACUGUGAUUUGGGAGGAAUAGAUGUGUACACACUGUUGUUACAUUGCAGGAGGGUGAUUUGUAGUCAUUUUCCUAUUGUGUAUGCUCUGUUCUACAUGUUCAGAUUGUCCUUUAGCAGCAAUAGGUCUGUGCUUUUUCUUGGAUCUGAUAGUGGACGAGAUUGGAUGUUGGGUUGUGGCUGGAGCUAGCCACCUUGUAUCCCGCGAGUAGUCGCCAUGCCGCUCGCUUUUUCUUUCUUUUCCUUGCUUUGGUCUGCAGAUUUUUCUGUCGAUCUAUGUACAGUUUGGCUGUCAGCCGCUCCUUCUGAAUGAAUCAUGCAGCUCUCCUGCGUUUCCUUCAAAAAAAUAGAGGAGUAUGUUCAUAUGGUCAAGGAUGGUAUCAUCGACCCUGUGAAAGUGAUCCAAACUACACUUCAAAAUGCAGCAAGAACAAGUACUCUGAUGAUGGCAAGAAGCAUAAUGUUAAAUGAAUUGGGUAAUGUUGAGGUUGAUGAUAGCUUGCUUGUUGUACAAAGCCAUGAAACUGGAUUCAAAAAUAAGAAAUGGUCGCUCGACGACGGCGGUGGCGGGCACCGUGGCGUGGACAACGGUGAUCCCCUCGGCGGCGGUGAUCCGCAGCAGGUCAUGCUGGCUCUGCACCAGGCUCGCCGGCAUGAAUUGACCCCCUUCCGCCGCCCUACGCCCCACCAGCUCGGCGUUCACCUCCACAGACGCCUACUGGCACACGAACUUCACCAGAAUUCACUUGCAAGAGAUUAAUGUGUUUGGGGAACUAUAUAUUGGAAAAGUGUGUAUUUUUGCAAGAGAAUAUAUAAUUGAUGCAACUUAUAUGAAAGAGCGUCUGAUAUUUGGAUUAAAGAGGCAUAUUGAUUCAUCUUUUAAAAAAAGGCAUACUAA
Triticum dicoccoides is the source of this 2663-nucleotide RNA transcript. RefSeq lists it as uncharacterized. The transcript has 7 exons. The record is from RefSeq and is a predicted model, not a curated record. NCBI's taxonomy places the organism in Eukaryota, Viridiplantae, Streptophyta, Magnoliopsida, Poales, Poaceae.